GAUGAACGCUGGCGGCGUGCUUAAUACAUGCAAGUCGAGCGAACAGACGAGGAUCUUGCUCCUUCCACGUUAGCCGCGGACGUGUGUAUAACACGUAUGAAACCUACCUAUAAUACUGGUAUCACUUCGGGAAACCGGCGCUAAUCCCGGAUAAUAUUUCGAAGCGCAUUGUUCGAUAGUAAAAGAUGGCUUUGCUAUCACUUAUAGAUGGACCUGCGCCGGUUUAGCUAGUUGUUAAUGUAACAGCUUAUCAAGGCAACGAUACGUAGCCGACGGGAGAGGGUGAUAGGCGACAUUGGAAGUGAGCCACGGAUAAGACGCCUAAGAGACGCAGCAGUAGGGAAUGUGACGCAGUAGGGGAAAGCAUUGCGGAGCAACGCCAAGUGAGAGAUGAAGGUCUUCGGAUCGUAAAACUCUGUUAUUAGGGAAGAACAAACGUGUAAGUAAAUGUGCACGUCUUGACGGUAACUAAUAAGAAAGCCACGGCUAACUACGUG
RNAcentral lists this ribosomal RNA (497 nucleotides) under uncultured bacterium. RNAcentral's name for it is "partial 16S ribosomal RNA". It matches the Rfam family "Bacterial small subunit ribosomal RNA", at positions 28 to 507 of the family's 1533-position model. The record is from RNAcentral.